This 978-nucleotide ribosomal RNA is filed under the name Triticum aestivum (bread wheat). RNAcentral describes it as "partial small subunit ribosomal RNA". Lineage: Eukaryota; Viridiplantae; Streptophyta; Magnoliopsida; Poales; Poaceae. The record is from RNAcentral.
AUGCGCGCGAUGGAUCCAGCUCCAGCAGCCAGCAAGAUGCGGUUCGACUCGCCGGCGUUCCGCGUCCAUGAGGACGGCCGCGUGGAGCGCUUCUUUGGCACGGACACCACCGAGCCCGGCUUCGACGCGGCUACCGGCGUCACCUCCAAGGACGUCGUCCUCGACGGCGCCACCGGCGUCUUCUCCCGCCUCUACCUGCCCGCGCUCCCCGACGGCCCCGACCGCGGGAGGAGGCUGCCCAUCCUCGUCUACUUCCACGGCGGCGGUCUGGUCCUCGGCUCGGCCGCCUCCCAGAUGUACCACGGCUACCUCAACUCCGUCGUCUCAAGGGCCGGCGUCCUGGCCGUGUCCGUCGACUACCGCCUCGCGCCGGAGCACCCGAUCCCGGCGGCCUACGAGGACUCCUGGAUGGCGCUCAGCUGGGCCGCGUCGAGGGCCGACCCGUGGCUGUCGGAGCACGGCGACGCCGGCCGCAUCUUCCUGGCCGGCGACAGCGGCGGCGCCAACAUCGUCCACAACAUGGCGAUCAUGGCCGGAAGUGCUGAUGAUGACAACGGUUUACCCGUGGGGGCGGUGGUGGAGCGGGUGAUCCUGCUGCACCCCAUGUUUGGCGGGAAGGAGCCGGUGGACGGCGAGGCGGCGGACACGAGAUAUCACAUGGAGAAGCUCUGGGCCCUGAUAUGCCCGGACGGCGACGGUCUAGGGGUGGACGACCCGAGGCUGAACCCGAUGGCUCCUGCGGCGCCGAGGUUGCGCGCGCUGGCUGGCCGGAGGCUGCUCGUCUGCUCGGCCGAGAGGGACUUCGCGCGGGCGAGGGCCGCCGCGUACUAUCAGGCUGUCAAGGGGAGCGGGUGGCCUGGCACGGCGGAGUGGGUGGAGUCCCCGGGGGAGGAGCAUGGGUUCUUCCUCCUCCAGCCGGAGCGCGACGAGUCGUCGGCCCUCAUGGACCGGGUGGUCGCCUUCCUCUCCGGCGAAUGA